This 429-nucleotide ribosomal RNA is filed under the name Gemmatimonadota bacterium. RNAcentral describes it as "Gemmatimonadetes bacterium partial 16S ribosomal RNA". It matches the Rfam family "Bacterial small subunit ribosomal RNA", at positions 355 to 776 of the family's 1533-position model. The record is from RNAcentral. Lineage: Bacteria; Pseudomonadati; Gemmatimonadota.
UAGGGAAUCUUCGGCAAUGGACGAAAGUCUGACCGAGCAACGCCGCGUGAGUGAAGAAGGUUUUCGGAUCGUAAAACUCUGUUGUUAGAGAAGAACAAGGACGUUAGUAACUGAACGUCCCCUGACGGUAUCUAACCAGAAAGCCACGGCUAACUACGUGCCAGCAGCCGCGGUAAUACGUAGGUGGCAAGCGUUGUCCGGAUUUAUCGGGCGUAAAGCGAGCGCAGGCGGUUUCUUAAGUCUGAUGUGAAAGCCCCCGGCUCAACCGGGGAGGGUCAUUGGAAACUGGGAGACUUGAGUGCAGAAGAGGAGAGUGGAAUUCCAUGUGUAGCGGUGAAAUGCGUAGAUAUAUGGAGGAACACCAGUGGCGAAGGCGGCUCUCUGGUCUGUAACUGACGCUGAGGCUCGAAAGCGUGGGGAGCAAACAGG